RNAcentral lists this ribosomal RNA (488 nucleotides) under uncultured bacterium. Its description in RNAcentral is "bacterial SSU rRNA". It matches the Rfam family "Bacterial small subunit ribosomal RNA", at positions 8 to 518 of the family's 1533-position model. The record is from RNAcentral.
AGAGUUGAUUAUGGCUCAGGACGAACGCUGCGGCGUGCUUCAUACAUGCAAGUCGAACGAGAAACUAACUCGGUUAGUGGAAAGUGGCGGACGGGUGAGUAAUAUGUAGAGAAUCUGCCCUGGAGAGGGGGACAACAGAGGGAAACUUCUGCUAAUACCCCAUAUGAGCGUAGUUGUGAUACUAUUCUUGAAAGAUUUAUCGCUCCGGGAUGAGUCUGCAUCUGAUUAGCUAGUUGGGGGUGUAAUGGACCACCAAGGCGACGAUCAGUAGCUGGUUUGAGAGGAUGAUCAGCCACAAUGGGACUGAGACACGGCCCAUACUCCUACGGGAGGCAGCAGUAGGGAAUUUUGCGCAAUGGGCGAAAGCCUGAACCGCAGCAACGCCGCGUGAUCGUAGACGCCCUUCGGGGUGUAAAGAUCUGUCAGUAGGGACGAACAAUGACUGUACCUACAGAGGAAGCACCGGCUAACUCCGUGCCAGCCGCCGC